RNAcentral lists this ribosomal RNA (433 nucleotides) under uncultured bacterium. Its description in RNAcentral is "partial 16S ribosomal RNA". It matches the Rfam family "Bacterial small subunit ribosomal RNA", at positions 29 to 507 of the family's 1533-position model. The record is from RNAcentral.
AACGAACGCUGGCGGCAUGCCUAACACAUGCAAGUCGAACGAGACCUUCGGGUCUAGUGGCGCACGGGUGCGUAACGCGUGGGAACCUGCCCUUAGGUUCGGGAUAACUCCCCGAAAGGGGUGCUAAUACCGGAUAAUGUCUUCGGACCAAAGAUUUAUCGCCUUUGGAUGGGCCCGCGUUGGAUUAGCUAGUUGGUAGGGUAAAAGCCUACCAAGGCGACGAUCCAUAGCUGGUCUGAGAGGAUGAUCAGCCACACUGGGACUGAGACACGGCCCAGACUCCUACGGGAGGCAGCAGUGGGGAAUAUUAGACAAUGGGCGAGAGCCUAAUCCAGCAAUGCCGCGGGAGUGAUGAAGGCCUUAGGGUUGUAAAGCUCUUUUACCCGGGAUGAUAAUGACAGUACCGGGAGAAUAAGCACCGGCUAACUCCGUG